UACGUAGGGUGCAAGCGUUGUCCGGAAUUAUUGGGCGUAAAGAGCUCGUAGGCGGUUCGUCACGUCGGCUGUGAAAUCCCGAGGCUCAACCUCGGGUCUGCAGUCGAUACGGGCGGACUGGAGUACUGCAGGGGAGACUGGAAUUCCUGGUGUAGCGGUGAAAUGCGCAGAUAUCAGGAGGAACACCAAUAGCGAAGGCAGCUCGCUGGGACGUAACUGACACUGAGGCGCGAAAGCGUGGGGAGCGAACAGG
This 253-nucleotide ribosomal RNA is filed under the name uncultured bacterium. Its description in RNAcentral is "partial 16S ribosomal RNA". It matches the Rfam family "Bacterial small subunit ribosomal RNA", at positions 524 to 776 of the family's 1533-position model. The record is from RNAcentral.